This 1616-nucleotide unclassified non-coding RNA is filed under the name Hevea brasiliensis (rubber tree). The record is from RNAcentral. Lineage: Eukaryota; Viridiplantae; Streptophyta; Magnoliopsida; Malpighiales; Euphorbiaceae.
UUCCUCUUCUCUCUCAUAUUUUUUCUUCAGUACUGUGUGGGGUUUGAAUAAUUUUGUAGCUUUAGAUUUGAAGAUUUUAAAGGGAGUAGUGCAAAUUAACAAAGCUUAGAAAGAAAAAGAUAGAAAAUUUUAAGGAAGAGAGAGAAGUGAUCGAUGCUAAAGAAGGGAGUCACAAAAUGUUGAUAACUACCAAAGUACAAAACCCAUUUGUCUUAGAGCGAUGGUUAUAGAGGUGAUGAUCGUUGUUUAGAUGCACAUAUUGAUACCCUUUUGCCUAAAUUAGCAAUCUUAGUUAGAUUAGACUGCUUUGAAUGCCCAUAUCAAAUCAAGUCUCCUAAAAGAGAGCAAAAGUGUACAGAUAAAAGACCCCAUUGGACCCAUUUUCUUUGGUUUUUUCCUCUCUUCUUCUUCUUGAUCCUUCCUGUAAAACCCUUGUUCUCUCUCUGUUUAGUAGUUAGUAAGUGCCUGUAUUCAUCUUGUAAAUGGCAGAUCAAGGUGGGAAUAUUUUGAUAAGAGACUACAGGAAAGGAAAUUGGACAGUGAGUGAAACUAUGGUGUUGAUUGAAGCAAAGAGAAUGGAUGACGAGAGAAGAAUGAAGAGAAGUAGUGAUAGUGAAGGAAGAAGCAAACCAGCUGAGCUUAGAUGGAAAUGGGUUGAAGAUUAUUGCUGGAGAAAAGGAUGUUUAAGGAGCCAAAACCAGUGCAAUGACAAGUGGGAUAAUCUCAUGAGAGAUUACAAGAAAGUGAGAGAUUAUGAAAAGAGAAUAGCUGAAGGACGAGAUGGAAAUGAAGCAUUAUCCUAUUGGAAGCUUGAAAAAAAUGAGAGAAAAGAGAAAAACGUGCCUAGUAAUAUGUUGCUUCAAGUGUAUGAGGCUCUGGUGGAGGCAGUGGAGAGGAGAGGAACUCAAAAAAUGGUCACUACUGCUGCAGGUGGGUCAGGUUCUAAUCCAAACAUAAGCUGCGUGGUUGAAAGACCUACUGUUCAUCCUCAUCCAUUGCCUCCUCUUCUGCAACAUCAAGUUUCAGUUUCAAUUCCAGUAUUGCCACCGCCACCAUCAGCAGCACCACAAGCACAACCACCACUUUCUCUCCCAUACUCUCAGCCUUCAUUGCCCGCAGUAGAGAUGUGUGAUGGCUCAGAUUCUGAUACAAGUGAGCAUUCAGGCUUACCAGCAAAGAGGAGGAGGAGAAGAGGUGGCAGUGGCGGAGGAGGAGGAGAAAGCAGUGGUGGCGGUGCCAGUGGAAGCACACCACAUGAAGUAGGCACUGCAAUCUCCAGAAGUGCUUCCAUUAUUGCAGAAGCUAUUCAGGCCUGUGAGGAGAGAAAAGAGAGAAGGCACAGGGAUCUCUUGAGUUUGCAUGAGAGAAGACUCAAGAUUGAGCAAUCUAUGACUGAACUCAACAGGCAAGGCAUUAAUGGUUUGGUUGAUGCCAUUAACAAUCUAGCUAAUUCAAUCCUAGCUUUGGCUUCCCAUAAGAACCAAUCAACUCCAAAAUGAUCAUGUUAUUAUUAAUCAAUUAAUUAAUUAUCUUAAUUAGCCACUAUUUAAAACAUUAUUUAUGUCUCUCUAUUCAUAACCAAGAUAAAUCUUUAAUUAUUUAUUAAUCGCAUUUUG